This is a non-coding RNA of Herpailurus yagouaroundi (jaguarundi), 85 nucleotides long. The record is from the annotation of a RefSeq genome assembly. Lineage: Eukaryota; Metazoa; Chordata; Mammalia; Carnivora; Felidae.
GCCUGGCUGGCUCAGUUGGUUGAGCAUCUGACUUCGGCUCAGGUAGUGAUUUUGCAGUUCGUGGGUUCAAGCCCCACAUCGGGCU